AGGGAAUCUUCCGCAAUGGACGAAAGUCUGACGGAGCAACGCCGCGUGAGUGAUGAAGGUUUUCGGAUCGUAAAACUCUGUUGUUAGGGAAGAACAAGUACCGUUCGAAUAGGGCGGCACCUUGACGGUACCUAACCAGAAAGCCACGGCUAACUACGUGCCAGCAGCCGCGGUAAUACGUAGGUGGCAAGCGUUGUCCGGAAUUAUUGGGCGUAAAGCGCGCGCAGGCGGUCUUUUAAGUAUGAUGUGAAAGCCCACGGCUCAACCGUGGAGGGUCAUUGGAAACUGGAAGACUUGAGUGCAGAAGAGGAGAGUGGAAUUCCACGUGUAGCGGUGAAAUGCGUAGAGAUGUGGAGGAACACCAGUGGCGAAGGCGACUCUCUGGUCUGUAACUGACGCUGAGGCGCGAAAGCGUGGGGAGCAAAC
This 426-nucleotide ribosomal RNA is filed under the name uncultured bacterium. RNAcentral describes it as "bacterial SSU rRNA". It matches the Rfam family "Bacterial small subunit ribosomal RNA", at positions 356 to 773 of the family's 1533-position model. The record is from RNAcentral.